ACCUGGGUGGCUCAGUCGGUUAAGCGUCUGACUUCGGCUCAGGUCGUGAUCUCACGGUUCGUGGGUUCGAGCCCCAUAUCAGGCU
RNAcentral lists this transfer RNA (85 nucleotides) under Felis catus (domestic cat). It matches the Rfam family "tRNA". From Rfam's summary of the family: Transfer RNA (tRNA) molecules are approximately 80 nucleotides in length. The record is from Rfam by way of RNAcentral. Lineage: Eukaryota; Metazoa; Chordata; Mammalia; Carnivora; Felidae.